RNAcentral lists this ribosomal RNA (450 nucleotides) under uncultured bacterium. RNAcentral's name for it is "partial 16S ribosomal RNA". It matches the Rfam family "Bacterial small subunit ribosomal RNA", at positions 354 to 796 of the family's 1533-position model. The record is from RNAcentral.
GUGGGGAAUAUUGGACAAUGGGCGAAAGCCUGAUCCAGCCAUGCCGCGUGUGUGAAGAAGGUCUUCGGAUUGUAAAGCACUUUAAGUUGGGAGGAAGGGCAGUAAGUUAAUACCUUGCUGUUUUGACGUUACCGACAGAAUAAGCACCGGCUAACUUCGUGCCAGCAGCCGCGGUAAUACGAAGGGUGCAAGCGUUAAUCGGAAUUACUGGGCGUAAAGCGCGCGUAGGAGGUUGUGUAAGUUGGAGGUGAAAUCCCCGGGCUCAACCUGGGAACUGCCUCCAAAACUGCAUGACUAGAGUACGGUAGAGGGUAGUGGAAUUUCCUGUGUAGCGGUGAAAUGCGUAGAUAUAGGAAGGAACACCAGUGGCGAAGGCGACUACCUGGACUGAUACUGACACUGAGGUGCGAAAGCGUGGGGAGCAAACAGGAUUAGAUACCCUAGUAGUCC